Molecule: long non-coding RNA, 360 nt
Organism: Gavialis gangeticus (Gharial)
Lineage: Eukaryota; Metazoa; Chordata; Crocodylia; Gavialidae
Exons: 3
Source: RefSeq, a predicted model, not a curated record
CUCUGCAGGGAAGAGCCCAGCCGCCCGAAGGGAUGUGUCACAGGCCCAGCACCAGGGAGUCCUCCAGCCCCAGAGGGAGGCCUGCAUGCUUGGACAGCAGGUUGACCGAGUAGGAAAGUGCCAUGUUGUAUGUCCCAGCCUGCACAGAGGAGCCCCAGUUGACAGCUGCGGUGGGAUGAGGAAGAGGAUGCAGAAGAAAGAUCAGGAGGUCCCACACCUACAUCUCUCCUUCUAGUGGGAGAGCAUGUCUGAAGCAGCGAAUGGAAAGACCCACCCAGCAGUGAGAGAGAAAGGGGCUGGGAGGCACCUCCUUACCUGGCUUCUUGUAGCUGACAUAGGCCACGCUGACCAGGAUGAUUC